RNAcentral lists this ribosomal RNA (551 nucleotides) under uncultured bacterium. Its description in RNAcentral is "bacterial SSU rRNA". It matches the Rfam family "Bacterial small subunit ribosomal RNA", at positions 354 to 896 of the family's 1533-position model. The record is from RNAcentral.
UAGGGAAAUCUUCGGCAAUGGGGGCAACCCUGACCGAGCAACGCCGCGUGAGUGAAGAAGGUUUUCGGAUCGUAAAGCUCUGUUGUAAGAGAAGAACGUGUGUGAGAGUGGAAAGUUCACACAGUGACGGUAACUUACCAGAAAGGGACGGCUAACUACGCGCCAGCAGCCGCGGUAAUACGUAGGUCCCGAGCGUUGUCCGGAUUUAUUGGGCGUAAAGCGAGCGCAGGCGGUUUAAUAAGUCUGAAGUUAAAGGCAGUGGCUUAACCAUUGUUCGCUUUGGAAACUGUUAAACUUGAGUGCAGAAGGGGAGAGUGGAAUUCCAUGUGUAGCGGUGAAAUGCGUAGAUAUAUGGAGGAACACCGGUGGCGAAAGCGGCUCUCUGGUCUGUAACUGACGCUGAGGCUCGAAAGCGUGGGGAGCAAACAGGAUUAGAUACCCUGGUAGUCCACGCCGUAAACGAUGAGUGCUAGGUGUUAGGCCCUUUCCGGGGCUUAGUGCCGCAGCUAACGCAUUAAGCACUCCGCCUGGGGAGUACGNCCGCAAGGUUG